This 492-nucleotide ribosomal RNA is filed under the name uncultured bacterium. Its description in RNAcentral is "partial 16S ribosomal RNA". It matches the Rfam family "Bacterial small subunit ribosomal RNA", at positions 29 to 507 of the family's 1533-position model. The record is from RNAcentral.
AGUGAACGCUGGCGGCAGGCCUAAUACAUGCAAGUCGAACGGCAGCACAGUAAGAGUUUGCUCUUACCGGUGGCGAGUGGCGGACGGGUGAGGAAUACAUCGGAAUCUACUUUUUCGGGGGGGAUAACGUAGGGACACUGACGCUACUACCGAAUACGACCUACGGCAGAAAGCAGGAGAUCUUCGGACCUUGCGCGACUGAAUGAGCCGAUGUCGGAUUAGCUAGUUGGCGGGGUAAAGGCCCACCAAGGCGACGAUACGUAGCUGGUCUGAGAGGAUGAUCGGCCACACUGGAACUGAGACACGGUCCAGACUCCUACGGGAGGCAGCAGUGGGGAAUAUUGGACAAUGGGCGCAAGCCUGAUCCAGCCAUACCGCGUGAGUGAUGAAGGCCUUCGGGUCGUAAAGCCCUUUUGUUGGGGAAGAAAAGCUGCGGGUUAAUACCCCGCUGUUCUGACGGUACCCAAAGAAUAAGCACCGGCUAACUUCGUG